CAUACGCAAUUAGUCCAUGAAUACAGCGAGGGUUUGUGAACACGGUGGCAGCAGUUUCGAGGCCACGGUCAUGGCAGUGGGAAUUCAUUACAGGAGGAUGGCUCACCGGCGUCACGUGCAGAGGGUCGGAGAGAGAGAGGGGAGGAAUGGGUGCAUGGUUUCGUGGUCAUUUCUGAGGACUGACUGCCCAGCUGUAGGGCCGCGGUCUGCCGCUCGGUCUCGUCUUUUACUCCAUCUCUUUCCACACAUACGCCUCCUCUCUUUAUUUCUGUUGCUGUUCCUUUGUUCAUGGCAGACCCACACCCCACUACUCUCUCUCAUCUCUUAUUCCGGGAGAGGGUAAUCAUUUCCUUCAUCAUCACCUCCUAUUGCUGCCUCAGCUUGACUGCCCUCCCUUCCCCCAUGAAAGGAGGCGGAAGUGUUGGGGGAGAGAGGAGGAGGAGGAGGCGGCGGCAAAGGCUGGAUGACCCGGGAAAGGGAAGGACAUGCAGCUCAAGGAGAAGGAAAAAAGGAAGCUUUAUCCUUGAGGGGAAUGUUGUCUGGCUCGAGGUCCUUCGUUUCUCUUACAGAUUAUGCAGAUCUAUGUGAAGAGAUCUCGGACCAGGCUUCAUUCCCCCCAACGAUCGCUUCCGUCUCUCCACCUCUCGAUCCCCGGCACCGAUCGUUCGAUCGACUUGAUAGAUUGGCGUAAUGAUGGGGGUUUACGACUGUCUUUCUUUCUUUCGCGACCUUCUUGUCCAGAUUUCAUCCUGACAUGAGGCCAAAAAGCUUUCAUCAUGACCUCCUCCGAGGGGUUUCUCGUGUCUGCCUUCCUCCUUGCUCCCUGCGAAUCUGCAUGCUGAGUUACCUGCAAGAUUUCCAGGUCAACUGAGUUCAGAUCUCUUUUUCUCCCUUUUUCUUGGGGGCACGUUUCAGCUCAUCUCUUCUCUUCUUUUCUCGUGCUUGUUUGCCGGAACUGUUUAGGGUUCCUAAGAUUAUCUCUAUCUGUGGUUACAAGUUACUCUGCCACUGCCAUGAUAGCUACAAUAUGGCUUAUCUCUUAUCUACAUCAUGCUUUCCUCUUAGCACACUAGAAGAAUCUUUGGACAUGGAAGCAUAUGGUGCCCCUUCCAUUUUGAUACACAGGUGAUUAGGGCACAGUUGCUGGAAAUAUGAGAUUAGUUGAUGGCAUUUGCCUUCUUGAAACCCCCCCUUUAUCCUUAUAUGGCAGUACAUGUUUCUGCCUAUAUAUUGCCUUGUUGAAACCUGAAUCCACUACAUGUAUGUGUUGUCGUCGUCGUCGUCGUCGUCUUUGACAUACGCAUGUUGACUUCACGUCAUAUUUAUUCCCAUAAAUCUACAAGUGCAAACCUGCUCGAUAUCUUCUUUGAUGGAAACAAGAUGCACGAUCACAUGAACAGCAGUUGUCAUUGCCAUUCCCAUUGCCUAGUUUGCUUGUGCAGCUGAAGGAGGAAAGGCAUAGGCGCAGCAUGAAUCUGGAAACACGUGUGUGGGAAAGGUGGCCAUGCGAAUGAGGUACGGAGGGAUGGGAGAGGCAGAGAGGGGGCUCAGACCACAGCUUAGGGUUUCGUUCGCACACAGGAGGCAGAGAUGGCAGCUUUCGAUUCGGAGACUCCCACACGGAACCAGAAAACCUCAGCCUUUCACUCCCAAUACUUUUCUUUCGGUAACCGUCACUUCCAUUCUUCAUCCGAGCUUGCAUCCUCUUCUUGUUCCUUUCAUCUAGGUUAUGAAUGUUAAACAGACUCAUACAUUUCUCUCUCUCUCUCUCUCUCUCUCUCUCUCUCUCUCUUAUAGAUAGAGAUGGAUUUUGAAUGUUUUGUUGAAGGUCAACUUAAGCUUUUGUGCGAAUCGAUGAUGUUUGACUUUGAUUUUGGGGUUCCAUGAAGAGAAGAGCAUUGGAAAUGAUGGACUCUCCUACCUUUCUUUCUCAUCUUCCUUGGCGUGGAUCAGAUCAUUCGCCACCUCCUCAGGUUCAUGAUAUUGAAGUAGCGUUGCGAGGAUUCCUCACCGCUGAAGUAAUUAAUGCAUGUUAUAUGGGUUCCUAAGAGUACUAUUUCUUCUCUUAUUCUUGUAUGUUUGAGUUGAAAUAUCAUUUUAUUGCUCUCCUGUUGUACUACGAUGUAGACUAUACCUUAGCCAAAUCUUUUUGCAUUGAUGGAUAGUUUUAUUGCAACA
Long non-coding RNA from Musa acuminata AAA Group (dessert banana), 2178 nucleotides. RefSeq lists it as uncharacterized. Lineage: Eukaryota; Viridiplantae; Streptophyta; Magnoliopsida; Zingiberales; Musaceae. The record is from RefSeq and is a predicted model, not a curated record. The transcript is spliced from 2 exons.